UGCGGAGGAUCCAAGCGUUAUCCGGAAUCAUUGGGUUUAAAGGGUGCGUAGGCGGCACUUUAAGUCAGGGGUGAAAUACGGCAGCUUAACUGUCGCAGUGCCUUUGAUACUGAAGUGCUUGAAUGCGGUUGAAGACGGCGGAAUGAGACAAGUAGCGGUGAAAUGCAUAGAUAUGUCUCAGAACACCGAUUGCGAAGGCAGCUGUCUAAGCCGUUAUUGACGCUGAUGCACGAAAGCGUGGGGAUCAAACAGG
Molecule: ribosomal RNA, 253 nt
Filed under: uncultured Sphingobacterium sp.
Lineage: Bacteria; Pseudomonadati; Bacteroidota; Sphingobacteriia; Sphingobacteriales; Sphingobacteriaceae
Description: partial 16S ribosomal RNA
Rfam family: Bacterial small subunit ribosomal RNA
Source: RNAcentral